AGCGAACGCUGGCGGCAGGCUUAACACAUGCAAGUCGAACGCCAUCUUCGGAUGGAGUGGCAGACGGGUGAGUAACGCGUGGGAACGUACCCUUUGGUUCGGAAUAUUCUCGGGAAACUGAGAGCAAUACCGGAUAAGCCCUACGGGGGAAAGAUUUAUCGCCAAAGGAGCGGCCCGCGUCAGAUUAGGUAGUUGGUGGGGUAAAGGCCUACCAAGCCUACGAUCUGUAGCUGGUCUGAGAGGAUGAUCAGCCACACUGGGACUGAGACACGGCCCAGACUCCUACGGGAGGCAGCAGUGGGGAAUCUUGGACAAUGGACGCAAGUCUGAUCCAGCCAUUCCGCGUGCAGGAUGAAGGCCCUCGGGUUGUAAACUGCUUUUGUACGGAACGAAAAGGUCUCUAUUAAUACUAGGGGCUCAUGACGGUACCGUAAGAAUAAGCACCGGCUAACUACGUG
This 458-nucleotide ribosomal RNA is filed under the name uncultured bacterium. RNAcentral's name for it is "bacterial SSU rRNA". It matches the Rfam family "Bacterial small subunit ribosomal RNA", at positions 29 to 507 of the family's 1533-position model. The record is from RNAcentral.